RNAcentral lists this ribosomal RNA (497 nucleotides) under uncultured bacterium. RNAcentral describes it as "partial 16S ribosomal RNA". It matches the Rfam family "Bacterial small subunit ribosomal RNA", at positions 28 to 507 of the family's 1533-position model. The record is from RNAcentral.
GAUGAACGCUGGCGGCGUGCCUAAUACAUGCAAGUCGAGCGAACAGAUAAGGAGCUUGCUCCUUUGACGUUAGCGGCGGACGGGUGAGUAACACGUGGGUAACCUACCUAUAAGACUGGAAUAACUCCGGGAAACCGGGGCUAAUGCCGGAUAACAUUUAGAACCGCAUGGUUCUAAAGUGAAAGAUGGUUUUGCUAUCACUUAUAGAUGGACCCGCGCCGUAUUAGCUAGUUGGUAAGGUAACGGCUUACCAAGGCAACGAUACGUAGCCGACCUGAGAGGGUGGUCGGCCACACGGGAAGUGAGACACGGUCCAGACUCCUACGGGAGGCAGCAGUAGGGAAUCUUCCGCAAUGGGCGAAAGCCUGACGGAGCAACGCCGCGUGAGUGAUGAAGGUCUUCGGAUCGUAAAACUCUGUUAUUAGGGAAGAACAAAUGUGUAAGUAACUGUGCACGUCUUGACGGUACCUAAUCAGAAAGCCACGGCUAACUACGUG